RNAcentral lists this ribosomal RNA (424 nucleotides) under Verrucomicrobiota bacterium. RNAcentral describes it as "Verrucomicrobia bacterium partial 16S ribosomal RNA". It matches the Rfam family "Bacterial small subunit ribosomal RNA", at positions 355 to 776 of the family's 1533-position model. Lineage: Bacteria; Pseudomonadati; Verrucomicrobiota. The record is from RNAcentral.
UGAGGAAUAUUGGUCAAUGGGCGAGAGCCUGAACCAGCCAAGUAGCGUGCAGGAUGACGGCCCUAUGGGUUGUAAACUGCUUUUAUAUGGGAAUAAAGUGAGGGACGUGUCCCUUAUUUCAUGUACCAUAUGAAUAAGGACCGGCUAAUUCCGUGCCAGCAGCCGCGGUAAUACGGAAGGUCCAGGCGUUAUCCGGAUUUAUUGGGUUUAAAGGGAGCGUAGGCUGUUUGUUAAGCGUGUUGUGAAAUGUAAGAGCUCAACUUUUAGAUUGCAGCGCGAACUGGCAGACUUGAGUGCGCACAACGUAGGCGGAAUUCAUGGUGUAGCGGUGAAAUGCUUAGAUAUCAUGACGAACUCCGAUUGCGAAGGCAGCUUACGGGAGCGCAACUGACGCUAAAGCUCGAAGGUGCGGGUAUCGAACAGG